Molecule: transfer RNA, 71 nt
Filed under: Azospirillum brasilense
Lineage: Bacteria; Pseudomonadati; Pseudomonadota; Alphaproteobacteria; Rhodospirillales; Azospirillaceae
Description: tRNA-Met
Source: RNAcentral
GCCGCUGUCCGGUAUCCUUGGCGCCGCUCAUAACGGUGUUGUCGUCGGUUCGAAUCCGGCCGGGCCCACCA